GACGAACGCUGGCGGCGUGCUUAACACAUGCAAGUCGAACGGAAAGGCCCUGCUUUUGUGGGGUGCUCGAGUGGCGAACGGGUGAGUAACACGUGAGUAACCUGCCCUUGACUUUGGGAUAACUUCAGGAAACUGGGGCUAAUACCGGAUAGGAGCUCCUGCUGCAUGGUGGGGGUUGGAAAGUUUCGGCGGUUGGGGAUGGACUCGCGGCUUAUCAGCUUGUUGGUGGGGUAGUGGCUUACCAAGGCUUUGACGGGUAGCCGGCUUGAGAGGGUGACCGGCCACAUUGGGACUGAGAUACGGCCCAGACUCCUACGGGAGGCAGCAGGGGGGAAUAUUGCACAAUGGGCGGAAGCCUGAUGCAGCAACGCCGCGUGCGGGAUGACGGGCUUCGGGUUGUAAACCGCUUUCGCCUGCGACGAAGCGUGAGUGACGGUAAUGGGUAAAGAAGCACCGGCUAACUACGUG
Molecule: ribosomal RNA, 468 nt
Filed under: uncultured bacterium
Lineage: Bacteria
Description: partial 16S ribosomal RNA
Rfam family: Bacterial small subunit ribosomal RNA
Source: RNAcentral